AGAGGGAUAGCUGGGUCAAAUAGGUCAGUUUUCUAAGAAAUCUCCAUACUGCUUUCCAUAUUGGCUGCACCAAUUUGCAGUCCCACCAGCAGU
This 93-nucleotide microRNA precursor is filed under the name Marmota monax (woodchuck). The record is from RNAcentral. Lineage: Eukaryota; Metazoa; Chordata; Mammalia; Rodentia; Sciuridae.